GUUUAUGUGUUGUUCCUUGUGUAAGAGCAUGGACUUACUGCAAAUCCUGCCCUUAGGGCAAAUUCCUACCUAUUCCUGCGGAAGCAUGUGUAUCAUUCCCCUAUGGUUUAUAACCCCUGAGUCUGGGGGUAAUGGCACGGGGACCCACCAGCUUGUCUGCCGCCAUCUGGGAUCUUUUUCUGCCAGGUACAGUGCUGGAAGCGGGGAUACAGGGACAAAUAAGACACAGAUCCUGUUCCUAAAGAGUUUUUUGAGAUGAAGUCUCGUUCUUGUCCCCCAGGCUGGAGUGCAAUGGCAUGAUCUCAGCUCACUGCAACCUCUGCCUCCCGGGUUCAAGCAAUUCUCCUGUCUCAGCCUCCUGAGUAGCUGGAUUACAGAGUCUUUUCUAAGGCACCAACUACUUCCUUCAAGCAGCAGCCAGAGAUCUUUGCUUAAUGGCUGAGAAACACAGAGGAGAGACCCAGAGAGAAGGAGAAGGCCGCAUGAAGAUGGAGCAGAGACUGGAGUUAUUCAGCCAAGUCAAGGAAUGCCUGGAGCACCAGAAGCCGGAAGAGGCAAGGAAGGAUCCUCCCUUAGAGCAUUUGGAAGAGUGUGGCCCUGCCAACACCUUGACUUCAAACUUCUGGCCUCCAUAACUAUGAAAUAAAUUCUUGUUGUUUUAAGCCACCAA
This 670-nucleotide long non-coding RNA is filed under the name Homo sapiens (human). Its description in RNAcentral is "HSALNT0292943". The record is from RNAcentral. Lineage: Eukaryota; Metazoa; Chordata; Mammalia; Primates; Hominidae.